RNAcentral lists this small RNA (109 nucleotides) under Rhizobium leguminosarum. RNAcentral describes it as "sRNA Atu_At1". It matches the Rfam family "Rhizobiales sRNA Atu_At1". The record is from RNAcentral. Lineage: Bacteria; Pseudomonadati; Pseudomonadota; Alphaproteobacteria; Hyphomicrobiales; Rhizobiaceae.
GGUCGCGGCGUGCCAAUCGGACGUGACGGAGAUGGUGAACGCAUCGGUUUUUCCGAUUUCUCGGUGCGGGCAACGAAAUGCCAGGCGAGCACCUUUACCCGUUCGCCGC